RNAcentral lists this ribosomal RNA (468 nucleotides) under uncultured bacterium. RNAcentral describes it as "partial 16S ribosomal RNA". It matches the Rfam family "Bacterial small subunit ribosomal RNA", at positions 28 to 507 of the family's 1533-position model. The record is from RNAcentral.
GACGAACGCUGGCGGCGUGCUUAACACAUGCAAGUCGAACGGAAAGGCCCUGCUUUUGUGGGGUGCUCGAGUGGCGAACGGGUGCGUAACACGUGAGUAACCUGCCCUUGACUUUGGGAUAACUUCAGGAAACUGGGGCUAAUACCGGAUAGGAGCUCCUGCUGCAUGGUGGGGGUUGGAAAGUUUCGGCGGUUGGGGAUGGACUCGCGGCUUAUCAGCUUGUUGGUGGGGUAGUGGCUUACCAAGGCUUUGACGGGUAGCCGGCCUGAGAGGGUGACCGGCCACAUUGGGACUGAGAUACGGCCCAGACGCCUACGGGAGGCAGCAGUGGGGAAUAUUGCACAAUGGGCGGAAGCCUGAUGCAGCAACGCCGCGUGCGGGAUGACGGCCUUCGGGUUGUAAACCGCUUUCGCCUGUGACGAAGCGUGAGUGACGGUAAUGGGUAAAGAAGCACCGGCUAACUACGUG